AGGGUCUCUACAAGGUGUUGAAAGCCUUCCACAGGGUCUCUACAAGGUGUUGAAAGCCUUCCACAGGGUCUCUACAAGGUGUUGAAAGCCUUCCACAGGGUCUCUACAAGGUGUUGAAAGCCUUCCACAGGGUCUCUACAAGGUGUUGAAAGCCUUCCACAGGGUCUCUACAAGGUGUUGAAAGCCUUCCACAGGGUCUCUACAAGGUGUUGAAAGCCUUCCACAGGGUCUCUACAAGGUGUUGAAAGCCUUCCACAGGGUCUCUACAAGGUGUUGAAAGCCUUCCACAGGGACUCUACAAGGUGUUGAAAGCCUUCCACAGGGACUCUACAAGGUGUUGAAAGCCUUCCACAGGGUCUCUACAAGGUGUUGAAAGCCUUCCACAGGGACUCUACAAGGUGUUGAAAGCCUUCCACAGGGUCUCUACAAGGUGUUGAAAGCCUUCCACAGGGACUCUACAAGGUGUUGAAAGCCUUCCACAGGGUCUCUACAAGGUGUUGAAAGCCUUCCACAGGGACUCUACAAGGUGUUGAAAGCCUUCCACAGGGUCUCUACAAGGUGUUGAAAGCCUUCCACAGGGACUCUACAAGGUGUUGAAAGCCUUCCACAGGGUCUCUACAAGGUGUUGAAAGCCUUCCACAGGGACUCUACAAGGUGUUGAAAGCCUUCCACAGGGACUCUACAAGGUGUUGAAAGCCUUCCACAGGGACUCUACAAGGUGUUGAAAGCCUUCCACAGGGACUCUACAAGGUGUUGAAAGCCUUCCACAGGGUCUCUACAAGGUGUUGAAAGCCUUCCACAGGGACUCUACAAGGUGUUGAAAGCCUUCCACAGGGUCUCUACAAGGUGUUGAAAGCCUUCCACAGGGACUCUACAAGGUGUUGAAAGCCUUCCACAGGGACUCUACAAGGUGUUGAAAGCCUUCCACAGGGACUCUACAAGGUGUUGAAAGCCUUCCACAGGGACUCUACAAGGUGUUGAAAGCCUUCCACAGGGUCUCUACAAGGUGUUGAAAGCCUUCCACAGGGACUCUACAAGGUGUUGAAAGCCUUCCACAGGGACUCUACAAGGUGUUGAAAGCCUUCCACAGGGACUCUACAAGGUGUUGAAAGCCUUCCACAGGGACUCUACAAGGUGUUGAAAGCCUUCCACAGGGACUCUACAAGGUGUUGAAAGCCUUCCACAGGGACUCUACAAGGUGUUGAAAGCCUUCCACAGGGACUCUACAAGGUGUUGAAAGCCUUCCACAGGGUCUCUACAAGGUGUUGAAAGCCUUCCACAGGGUCUCUACAAGGUGUUGAAAGCCUUCCACAGGGACUCUACAAGGUGUUGAAAGCCUUCCACAGGGUCUCUACAAGGUGUUGAAAGCCUUCCACAGGGACUCUACAAGGUGUUGAAAGCCUUCCACAGGGUCUCUACAAGGUGUUGAAAGCCUUCCACAGGGUCUCUACAAGGUGUUGAAAGCCUUCC
Long non-coding RNA from Oncorhynchus keta (chum salmon), 1470 nucleotides. RefSeq lists it as uncharacterized. The record is from RefSeq and is a predicted model, not a curated record. NCBI's taxonomy places the organism in Eukaryota, Metazoa, Chordata, Actinopteri, Salmoniformes, Salmonidae. The transcript has 4 exons.